UUGAAAGGGAAACGAUUGAAGUCAGUCGUACCAGCGGGAAAUCAACCUUUCGAGUGGGGGUUUUGGAGUUUUGAAGAGUGUCAAAACCUUUGAGAUUUCAAAAUUUUCGCUCCUUUGGUGUACUUUCUCGUGGGUAGGUUAACAUCGAUUUCGAUCAUCAUAAAAGGAUUGGAGGAAUGUAGCUUCGAUCUUGUAUUGAAGUGUUAUAGCCCUUGGUAAAUGUGAUGAUUAGGAUCGAGGAUUGCAACGAAUACCCUUUUGGGCUAUCCGCCUGAUCUCUGAUACGUGGCCUUGGUAUCGAAAGCUUGCUUAUGGUAUUAAGGUAUUACGGUCAAAAGGUUAGAACGGAUUACAUUCGUUAAGGAUGUUGACGUA
Molecule: ribosomal RNA, 375 nt
Filed under: uncultured Glomeromycotina
Lineage: Eukaryota; Fungi; Glomeromycota
Description: LSU rRNA
Source: RNAcentral